Molecule: non-coding RNA, 21 nt
Filed under: Caenorhabditis elegans
Lineage: Eukaryota; Metazoa; Nematoda; Chromadorea; Rhabditida; Rhabditidae
Source: RNAcentral
UAUGGAUGCUACAUUUUCUUU